GAAACCCUGAUGCAGCUUCCGCGUGAGUGAUGACGGUCUUCGGAUUGUAAAGCUCUGUCUUUAGGGACGAUAAUGACGGUACCUAAGGAGGAAGCCACGGCUAACUACGUGCCAGCAGCCGCGGUAAUACGUAGGUGGCAGGCGUUGUCCGGAUUUACUGGGCGUAAAGGGAGCGUAGGUGGAUAUUUAAGUGGGAUGUGAAAUACUCGGGCUUAACUUGGGUGCUGCAUUCCAAACUGGAUAUCUAGAGUACAGGAG
This 258-nucleotide ribosomal RNA is filed under the name uncultured Clostridium sp. Its description in RNAcentral is "partial 16S ribosomal RNA". It matches the Rfam family "Bacterial small subunit ribosomal RNA", at positions 377 to 654 of the family's 1533-position model. Lineage: Bacteria; Bacillati; Bacillota; Clostridia; Eubacteriales; Clostridiaceae. The record is from RNAcentral.